CUGGAGGUAUCAGAAGUGCGAAUGCUGACAUAAGUAACGAUAAAGCGGGUGAAAAGCCCGCUCGCCGGAAGACCAAGGGUUCCUGUCCAACGUUAAUCGGGGCAGGGUGAGUCGACCCCUAAGGCGAGGCCGAAAGGCGUAGUCGAUGGGAAACAGGUUAAUAUUCCUGUACUUGGUGUUACUGCGAAGGGGGGACGGAGAAGGCUAUGUUGGCCGGGCGACGGUUGUCCCGGUUUAAGCGUGUAGGCUGGUUUUCCAGGCAAAUCCGGAAAAUCAAGGCUGAGGCGUGAUGACGAGGCACUACGGUGCUGAAGCAACAAAUGCCCUGCUUCCAGGAAAAGCCUCUAAGCAUCAGGUAACAUCAAAUCGUACCCCAAACCGACACAGGUGGUCAGGUAGAGAAUACCAAGGCGCUUGAGAGAACUCGGGUGAAGGAACUAGGCAAAAUGGUGCCGUAACUUCGGGAGAAGGCACGCUGAUAUGUAGGUGAAGUCCCUCGCGGAUGGAGCUGAAAUCAGUCGAAGAUACCAGCUGGCUGCAACUGUUUAUUAAAAACACAGCACUGUGCAAACACGAAAGUGGACGUAUACGGUGUGACGCCUGCCCGGUGCCGGAAGGUUAAUUGAUGGGGUCAGCGCAAGCGAAGCUCUUGAUCGAA
This 658-nucleotide ribosomal RNA is filed under the name Escherichia coli. RNAcentral describes it as "partial 23S ribosomal RNA". It matches the Rfam family "Bacterial large subunit ribosomal RNA", at positions 1273 to 1916 of the family's 2925-position model. Lineage: Bacteria; Pseudomonadati; Pseudomonadota; Gammaproteobacteria; Enterobacterales; Enterobacteriaceae. The record is from RNAcentral.